UGAGUAACACGUAUCCAACCUGCCGUCUACUCUUGGACAGCCAUCUGAAAGGAAGAUUAAUACAAGAUGGCAUCAUGAGUUCACAUGUUCACAUGAUUAAGGGUAUUCCGGUAGACGAUGGGGAUGCGUUCCAUUAGAUAGUAGGCGGGGUAACGGCCCACCUAGUCUUCGAUGGAUAGGGGUUCUGAGAGGAAGGUCCCCCACAUUGGAACUGAGACACGGUCCAA
Molecule: ribosomal RNA, 227 nt
Filed under: uncultured bacterium
Lineage: Bacteria
Description: partial 16S ribosomal RNA
Rfam family: Bacterial small subunit ribosomal RNA
Source: RNAcentral